UGAGGAUUAGUUUAACAAAAACAUUUGACUUCGACUCAAAAAACUUCAGUUACACCCUGAAAUCCUUUU
This 69-nucleotide transfer RNA is filed under the name Acanthaster planci (crown-of-thorns starfish). RNAcentral describes it as "tRNA-Arg". It matches the Rfam family "tRNA". From Rfam's summary of the family: Transfer RNA (tRNA) molecules are approximately 80 nucleotides in length. Their secondary structure includes four short double-helical elements and three loops (D, anti-codon, and T loops). Further hydrogen bonds mediate the characteristic L-shaped molecular structure. tRNAs have two regions of fundamental functional importance: the anti-codon, which is responsible for specific mRNA codon recognition, and the 3' end, to which the tRNAs corresponding amino acid is attached (by aminoacyl-tRNA synthetases). tRNAs cope with the degeneracy of the genetic code in two manners: having more than one tRNA (with a specific anti-codon) for a particular amino acid; and 'wobble' base-pairing, i.e. permitting non-standard base-pairing at the 3rd anti-codon position. Lineage: Eukaryota; Metazoa; Echinodermata; Asteroidea; Valvatida; Acanthasteridae. The record is from Rfam by way of RNAcentral.